This 252-nucleotide unclassified non-coding RNA is filed under the name Hevea brasiliensis (rubber tree). The record is from RNAcentral. Lineage: Eukaryota; Viridiplantae; Streptophyta; Magnoliopsida; Malpighiales; Euphorbiaceae.
AAGAAAGCUGAGAUGAAUAUAUCAUUAGUAAGACCAGAAAACUCUUAAGAGAGUAUUAUUAGAGUUGUCAUUUCUUUAUUAUUAGAGUUUUCAUUUCUUUUUAUUAUUAGAGUUCAAAACACAAAUGCCCAAUGUUAAGUGGGGGAACAAGAUUAAAUCAGUGCACGCCCUCGUAUGUUUCAGAAGCUCGAUCCACUCAAAUGUGCAAAUUCAUUGUCCUUUCCAUUGUUACUACUAGCUCAAGCAACAAUG